This 1599-nucleotide long non-coding RNA is filed under the name Elaeis guineensis (African oil palm). RNAcentral describes it as "long non-coding RNA (EGUI_LNC006322)". Lineage: Eukaryota; Viridiplantae; Streptophyta; Magnoliopsida; Arecales; Arecaceae. The record is from RNAcentral.
AAGUUAUGGAUUAGUUUUCAGAAGGAAAUUCAAACCACUAAAUAAAAGGUAUGUGAGCAAAAAUUUGAUCAAGUACCGUCUUAUUGAAGCUAGAUACUCUUCUUUUGUUACGUUCUGCAUUAUUUGAAUCUCUUUCUCAUAGUUGGAUAUCUGAUAAUGUACUCAAUUGAUCAGUAACAAUGAGCAAAUUAAUCUGCUUCUGAUUGGCAAUUUUGCUGAACAUACACACACUGUGUAUGACAAGUAUUAGUUCUAGAACAUUCAUAAUAAUUGGAUUCAUUGUCCCGUAAUAAUCCUAAUUGCUUGUACCUAAUUCAUUGCUCAAAAUGGUGAAAUCUUGGGUACUUGUUGGCUUGAGAUUAAACUAAUUAAAACAAUCAAAGCCUUUUCUUUCAUUCUCAAAAAAGUCAUUGUAAUUUGCAGUGCAGAUAACAUUAAAAAAGAAUACAAUAAGCCACCCAAUUGCCAUUCAUCUUUAGUCGUCGUGAUUGAUAGAUGCUUCUUUAUUUGGAUGGCUUUUUCCAAAGAACACAGGCAGGCACACACAAGGUUUUCCUUCCAUUCAAAUUUUAAUGGGAGUCGGAUAAGUUUCCUGGAAAUACCGGGAAAUUUGUGAAAGUGGUAGGUCCCCAGUACUUUAUUGCCGCUAGAUCGUAUGCUCUUGCUGCUGCUUCCUCCUCGUUAUAGGCACCAAGAUAAACUGCUUGUAUUGGCAGACAGUUCCAAUGCCCAAGAAGAGAUAACAGGAUGUUAAUAUGAAUAUAAUAUAUAUUUAAUGAUAUUAAAGAUAUAGGGCAAGCCCAAGUCCUUAAGAUAAUCCAGAAGAAUUAUGUGGAAAGUUUACCUUGCUUUCCUUUCUUCUUUUGUGUCGCAUUCCAAGACCCCUUGUCCCACAAAUGGGCUUCAAAACGGCCAGUCCAUCGGUGCCUGUCCAGUGAACUACUGUUAGUUUAUGGUAAAAGAUAAGCAAUUAUUAAAUUUUCUCGUAAGCUUCUUCUGUUUCGACAAAAAAUGGAUCUGCACCAGUGUGCAGCAUCAAUAAAUUGGUAAAUCUAUUGUUUUCUAUGAUUAGCUAUCUUAUCUCUGUUUAUCUAUUGGCCAUCUCUUAAAAUACCCUUUUCUAAUUGACCAUUAAGAUGCUAUUGGAGAAUUCACUAUUGACCUACCAGCUUAUCUUUUUACUAGUCAUCACGAAGAUUCACAUAUUCUAGCAGACUAGCACUCACCACCUGCUCUUUCUCACAAGUUGCGUGCUCUCUCUCUCUCUCUCUCUCACUCUCACGCACAUUCAUGCACACGCGCACCGCCCAAAGGAUAAAAUUCCUCACCUGCUAACCCCUCGAAACCUUGAACUCCUUUUGAUGGUGCUGGUUGUGGCAGACUGAUCAUGCAUCGGUCCGUUGGAAACAUUUAUAGUUGAUAGCAGUGCAGGUCCGCCGCGCCUCCUCUUAACACACUUCAUUCCAUCAGGACCAACCGAUGCUCUCACAGGCUGACCUGAGAGGUGCUUCCCAUUGCUGUUUAGCUCACUCUUCACCGACACAUUCAAUUGCAUUCUUCCUUUCUAAUAACGGUCCCCCUAAAGCUCUCAGUGGCGGC